AUAUAGCUCAGUUGGUAGAGCUCCGCUCUUGCAAUUGG
Molecule: transfer RNA, 38 nt
Filed under: Tripidium arundinaceum
Lineage: Eukaryota; Viridiplantae; Streptophyta; Magnoliopsida; Poales; Poaceae
Also listed under: 2 other names
Description: Saccharum arundinaceum tRNA-Ala
Source: RNAcentral